AAGUCGUAACAAGGUUUCCGUAGGUGAACCUGUGGAAGGAUCAUUAACAAAUGUCCCAACCACCCCACGUCUGUGAACUGUUACCCCAAAAGCUUUGGGUGUGCACCGUGCCAGACCCCCCCAGUCAGCAAUGCCUGGGAGGCUCUAGCCGGACCACCUGUAUAUUUACGUUGAAAUACCCUUCACUGAGACUUUAUACUAAAAAUAAAGACAACUUUUAGCAACGGAUCUCUAGGCUCUC
RNAcentral lists this unclassified non-coding RNA (241 nucleotides) under fungal sp. Its description in RNAcentral is "partial internal transcribed spacer region". The stretch from base 1 to 46 matches the Rfam family "Eukaryotic small subunit ribosomal RNA", at positions 1786 to 1831 of the family's 1831-position model. The record is from RNAcentral. Lineage: Eukaryota; Fungi.